Molecule: ribosomal RNA, 457 nt
Filed under: uncultured bacterium
Lineage: Bacteria
Description: bacterial SSU rRNA
Rfam family: Bacterial small subunit ribosomal RNA
Source: RNAcentral
UACGGAAGGCAGCAGGGGGGAAUAUUGCACAAUGGGCGCAAGCCUGAUGCAGCCAUGCCGCGUGUAUGAAGAAGGCCUUCGGGUUGUAAAGUACUUUCAGUCGUGAGGAAGGUGUUAAGGUUAAUAACCUUAGCAAUUGACGUUAGCGACAGAAGAAGCACCGGCUAACUCCGUGCCAGCAGCCGCGGUAAUACGGAGGGUGCGAGCGUUAAAUCGGAAUUACUGGGCGUAAAGGGCACGCAGGCGGUUAAUUAAGUUGGAUGUGAAAUCCCCGGGCUUAAACCUGGGAAUGGCAUUCAAGACUGGUUAGCUAGAGUCUUGUAGAGGGGGUAGAAUUCCAUGUGUAGCGGUGAAAUGCGUAGAGAUGUGGAGGAAUACCGGUGGCGAAGGCGGCCCCUGGACAAAGACUGACGCUCGAUGUGCGAAAAGCGUGGGGAGCAAACAGGGAUUAGAUACC